Non-coding RNA from Camelina sativa (false flax), 555 nucleotides. Lineage: Eukaryota; Viridiplantae; Streptophyta; Magnoliopsida; Brassicales; Brassicaceae. The record is from RefSeq and is a predicted model, not a curated record.
GACAUGAGAGGAAACUGUGGAAAGCAACGAAAAACAAAAUGAGCUGAGAAAAGGCGAAGAAGAAGACAAAUCUCUCAGAGGCAGAGGUGUUUAGUAUAUAAUGAACAAGAACCUUAUGGAGAUGGAACGUCAUGUCAUCAACUUCGAUUUCAAUGUCGCUAGAUUUCUCAGACGCCAUUAAUGGGAGGAGACAGCGGUGAGGAAAAGAAAGCUCUGAUCACUUACUGAGACAGAAGAAACCAAAGAGCCAAUCUCUUUCUAAAGAAGGAAUAUGGAGAGAACAAGAGGGGGUAAAGGAGAGGGUUGGAAUCCUAAAUCAUGAGAAAGAGACACUUUAAAAAAUAAAAAUAAAAACAUUAUUCGGAUUUCGAAAAAGGGGAUCUCGUUUUUGAUCCAUCUUUUUAUUUUUAUUUUCUUUUCUCUUUUUUUUUUUUUAUAAAAUUAUAAUCUUUAGUUGGAGAACAGCAAGAAUCUCAACUACUACUACUCUAGAGACGACACAUUUUCAGAUAAAAUUACGCGUUGGGAGUAGCAAAAUCCCCACUCAUUUGUUAA